AUUUGGUCGUAGACCCGAAACCAGGUGAUCUACCCUUGGUCAGGUUGAAGUUCAGGUAACACUGAAUGGAGGACCGAACCGACUUACGUUGAAAAGUGAGCGGAUGAACUGAGGGUAGCGGAGAAAUUCCAAUCGAACCUGGAGAUAGCUGGUUCUCUCCGAAAUAGCUUUAGGGCUAGCCUCAAGUGAUGAUUAUUGGAGGUAGAGCACUGUUUGGACGAGGGGCCCCUCUCGGGUUACCGAAUUCAGACAAACUCCGAAUGCCAAUUAAUUUAACUUGGGAGUCAGAACAUGGGUGAUAAGGUCCGUGUUCGAAAGGGAAACAGCCCAGACCACCAGCUAAGGUCCCAAAAUAUAUGUUAAGUGGAAAAGGAUGUGGCGUUGCCCAGACAACUAGGAUGUUGGCUUAGAAGCAGCCAUCAUUUAAAGAGUGCGUAAUAGCUCACUAGUCGAGUGACACUGCGCCGAAAAUGUACCGGGGCUAAACAUAUUACCGAAGCUGUGGAUUGUCCUUUGGACAAUGGUAGGAGAGCGUUCUAAGGGCGUUGAAGCAUGAUCGUAAGGACAUGUGGAGCGCUUAGAAGUGAGAAUGCCGGUGUGAG
This 602-nucleotide ribosomal RNA is filed under the name Staphylococcus aureus. RNAcentral's name for it is "partial 23S ribosomal RNA". It matches the Rfam family "Bacterial large subunit ribosomal RNA", at positions 701 to 1306 of the family's 2925-position model. The record is from RNAcentral. Lineage: Bacteria; Bacillati; Bacillota; Bacilli; Caryophanales; Staphylococcaceae.